AGAGUUUGAUCAUGGCUCAGAACGAACGCUGGCGGCGCGUUUUAAGCAUGCAAGUCGAGCGGUAGGGAGGUGCUUGCACUUCCUGAGAGCGGCGAACGGGUGAGUAACGCGUAGGUGAUCUACCUUUCGGUUGGGGAUAGCCCAUGGAAACAUGGGGUAAUACCGAAUGAGUUCCUUUUGCUUUGGUGGAAGGAGGAAAGAGGCUUUGGCCUCGCCGAGAGAUGAGCCUGCGUCUGAUUAGCUAGUUGGUGUGGUAAAGGCGCACCAAGGCGACGAUCAGUAGCCGGCCUGAGAGGGUGACCGGCCACAUUGGGACUGAGACACGGCCCAGACUCCUACGGGAGGCAGCAGCUAAGAAUCUUCCGCAAUGGGCGCAAGCCUGACGGAGCGACGCCGCGUGGACGAAGAAGGCCGAGAGGUUGUAAAGUCCUUUUCUCACUGAAGAAUAACCUUCAUAGGGAAUGAUGGGGGGAUGACGUUAGGUGAGGAAUAAGCUCCGGCCAAUUACGUGCCAGCAGCCGCGGUAACACGUAAGGAGCGAGCGUUGUUCGGAAUUAUUGGGCGUAAAGGGCUCGUAGGCGGUUUUGUAAGUCUGGCGUGAAAUAGUGAGGCUCAACCUCACGCACGCGCCGGAAACUGCAGGGCUGGAAUCUUGGAGGGGGUACUGGAAUUCCUGGUGUAGGGGUGAAAUCUGUUGAUAUCAGGAAGAACACCUGAGGCGAAGGCGAGUACCUGGCCAAAGAUUGACGCUGAUGAGCGAAAGCGUAGGGAGCGAACAGGAUUAGAUACCCUGGUAGUCUACGCCGUAAACGAUGUGCACUUGAUGGUGGUGCCGUGCGGUAUCACUGUCGUAGCUAACGCGUUAAGUGCACCGCCUGGGGAGUAUGCCGGCAACGGUGAAACUCAAAGGAAUUGACGGGGGCCCGCACAAGCGGUGGAGCAUGUGGUUUAAUUCGAUGAUACGCGAGGAACCUUACCAGGGCUUGACAUGAGCGUGGCGUUCGUGGAGACACGGGUUUCCCUUCGGGGACGCGCUUACAGGUGCUGCAUGGCUGUCGUC
RNAcentral lists this ribosomal RNA (1060 nucleotides) under uncultured bacterium. RNAcentral describes it as "bacterial SSU rRNA". It matches the Rfam family "Bacterial small subunit ribosomal RNA", at positions 8 to 1056 of the family's 1533-position model. The record is from RNAcentral.